This is an unclassified non-coding RNA of Vigna unguiculata (cowpea), 2335 nucleotides long. Lineage: Eukaryota; Viridiplantae; Streptophyta; Magnoliopsida; Fabales; Fabaceae. The record is from RefSeq and is a predicted model, not a curated record.
UCCGAAUCUCAUAAUCCUAAGGAAAAAGACAGUCACUGUACAACCUUAAGAAAGGCCAAAAACCAGAAACCAAACCAAAUACACCGUUCACUUUUGUUGUCACACUCUUCCAUUUCAAUUCACCAUCACACUCUCUUCACUGUCUCUCACACCCACAACAAGUUUCACUACAUAGAUUCACACAAACAAUACUUCUUCUCAGUCUCAAUUUCAUGUUUUCUUCUCUUCUUUCCCCAACUGAGUGCCGACACUCUUCUACUUCGUUAUUAUUUUUAAUCGACAAAGGCUUUAUCUUUGGGUUAAACCGGUGACCCACUAGGGAGAGAGGAGUGGAAUGCAGAAGCGCAAGUGGAUUCCGUUGGCGCUGCUGAGAAAGUUGCUCAUUUCAGCCAUAUGCUGCAUAGCGUUUGUGGCUCUCUUCUCUGUGCGCAUACACAUUGUUCCUUCCUCUAAGGAUCACAGGUUCAACGACAAGAUCUCCACGGCUCAGGAUCUGCACAGCUGGACGCGAGAGCUCGCACCGCCACAUUUGUCCAAAGCUCCAGUUUCUACUCCCAAGUUGAAUGGUACAAGAGGGUACUUAGAUUACCAGAAGUUGUGGAAGCCUCCAUCAAAUCGUGGGUUUUUGCCCUGUACAAAGCCCACUCCUAAUUACACUACUCCUGCAGAGUCGCGAGGAUAUCUUUUAGUACACACAAAUGGUGGGCUCAACCAAAUGCGUUCUGGGAUAUGUGAUAUGGUAGCAGUGGCUCGUAUAAUAAAUGCCACUCUUGUAAUUCCAGAACUUGAUAAAAGAUCAUUUUGGCAAGAUACUAGCAAUUUCUCUGAUGUUUUUGAUGAAGAGCAUUUUAUGAAUUCUCUAGCUAAUGAUGUAAAAAUCAUUAAAAAACUCCCCAACGAUCUAGUUAACGAAACCAAAGUGGUCAAACAAUUCAUAAGCUGGUCUGGCAUGGAUUACUACGAGAAUGAGAUUGCUAGCUUGUGGGAAGAAUACCAAGUUAUUCGAGCUUCCAAAUCUGAUUCACGAUUAGCAAACAACAAUCUACCUCCCGACAUUCAGAAGCUUCGAUGCCGGGCUUGUUAUGAAGCACUUCGCUUCUCUCCUCGCAUUGAACAACUGGGAAAAUUGUUGGUGGAGAGGAUGAGGUCAUUUGGUCCUUACAUUGCGCUGCACUUGCGUUACGAGAAGGAUAUGCUUGCAUUUAGUGGCUGCACCCAUGAUUUAUCUCUUGUUGAAGCUGAAGAACUACGAAUGAUCAGGGAGAACAUUUCCUAUUGGAAAAUAAAGGAGAUUGAUCCAAUAGAACAGAGGUCCAAAGGGUUUUGCCCCUUAACUCCAAAGGAAGUUGGGAUUUUUCUUACUGCUCUUGGAUACCCAUCAACAACUCCUAUAUAUAUUGCUGCUGGAGAGAUAUAUGGGGGCGAGUCCCACAUGGCUGAAUUGCGUUCCCGGUAUCCAUUGUUGAUGAGCAAGGAAAAGUUGGCAUCCAUAGAAGAGCUUGAACCUUUUUCCAAUCAUGCAUCCCAAAUGGCUGCUCUUGACUAUAUUGUAUCUAUUGAAAGUGAUGUAUUCAUACCUUCUUAUUCUGGAAACAUGGCAAAGGCUGUUGAGGGUCAUCGUCGUUUUCUUGGACGUGGAAGAACAAUAUCUCCCGACAAUUGUUGUGUCUGUCUUCUCAUUUACCUAGGAAAGUCCUCGUUCGCCUGUUUGAUAAACUAGAUCAGGGACUAAUCACGGAGGGGAAGAAACUAUCAAAUAGGAUUAUUGAUCUCCACAGAAGACGACUUGGUUCUCCCAGAAAGAGAAAAGGGCCAAUUUCUGGGACAAAGGGCAUGGAAAGGUUCCGGUCAGAAGAAACCUUUUAUGCUAAUCCCUUACCUGAUUGUUUAUGCCGGACAGAACAACCACCACCACCACCACCUCUAAACACCUCUCACAUUGUUUGAUUGAUGAAAUACUGAACUUUUUCCGUGGAAAUUCCGCUUGGUGAAAAAGGGUGGCACAUGAGUUUGAGCAUAAGAUGAAGAUCUGAUGUGCAUGUUGAAGGCAUGGUGAUGUGGUGACAGAGUGUAUAUACCGGUAUCACUGUUACACUUAUCCUUUAAUUGGGGGCUGGGAAUAAAGGAGGUGAAAAAAAGGGAAAACAAAAUCCAAAUUAGGGUUUUGAUAUAAAGAAUUAGAUUGGGAUGAGUAGUUAUAGGGUGAGACGGAGAUUUAAGAUCACUGGAUUGAUUUGUUCUGUGAAACAUUACUUCAUUAUAAAGGCCAAGGAUCUCUAUAACCUGUUAUUGUAAUUCUUCUUCACUAAUCUCACAUGAUUUCACAUUUUUUUAA